GUGUGAUGUGUGCAUGUGAUAAUGAAAAUAAAGCGCGGGGAGGUUUGUUACAGCGUUAGUGCGUCUGAGGAGAGAAGUGUGGUGUGUGCAUGUGAUAAUGAAAGUAGAGCGCGGGGAGGUUUGUUACAGCGUUAGUGCGUCUGAGGAGAGAAGUGUGGUGUGUGCAUGUGAUAAUGAAAAUAAAGCGCGGGGAGGUUUGUUACAGCGUUAGUGCGUCUGAGAAGAGAAGUGUGGUGUGUGCAUGUGAUAAUGAAAGUAGAGCGCAGGUAUCUGGGGCUGCCACUGGUUAAUGGGUCAUGGAGAGAGGAGCUGACAAGAGAGGUCGAGAGGGCACCGCUCUCCGCAGUGUGUGUGUCCCAGAGGACCAGGCUAACGCACCGCCACCGCUGAAGGUGACACGUGCAUGUAAAUGUGCUUCAAGCCCCUCACACACACACACAGAGAGAGAGAGAGACAUGCACACAUUCACACACU
This is a long non-coding RNA of Clupea harengus (Atlantic herring), 474 nucleotides long. NCBI's taxonomy places the organism in Eukaryota, Metazoa, Chordata, Actinopteri, Clupeiformes, Clupeidae. The record is from Ensembl.